This 3746-nucleotide long non-coding RNA is filed under the name Triticum aestivum (bread wheat). Its description in RNAcentral is "long non-coding RNA (TAES_LNC016344)". The record is from RNAcentral. Lineage: Eukaryota; Viridiplantae; Streptophyta; Magnoliopsida; Poales; Poaceae.
UGAACUUCUGUUGGCAGUGAAAUAACAGAAUUUUGAGACCAAAUAAUAUCAACAUGUAGUGAACCAUGGAAGAACAUUCCUUGUGGAUAUUCAGAAAAAAAUGUUUGGUGCUACUUGAGGCAAGAACAUACCUCUCAUGCUGAUCUAACGAUAGACUAAAUCUAAUCACACCAAAGCAGGAAAAAGAUCGGAUGUGGACUUCCGCAUGACUCCCGUCACUACGAGGAGGCUUCGCGGCACAUGAUCACUUUUGAGAGAUGGACGUGCGCUGUCACGGGCUUUUGAAAUAUUUUGCUGGAAUUAUGGAAACAAAAUGCAUGUUAUAUUUCACAUGUAGAAAAAAAGAUAGCACGGGCAUAAUCGAGUAAUAAUUUAAGUCCACUUCACUUACAUUGUAAAUUGUUAACAAAAGGCAAUUUGACAAUGCAUACAUAUAGAGCGAUGAUCCAACUAAAAAUCUAUUACAAAUUAAUAUCUAUUUGAUGCGUUUAAGAAAUUCUCGCACAAUAUUAGCAAUGUUGUCUUUAGUUUCAUUUGCACAAUAUUUGAGCAAGUAUAAUAAAAAUGUCUUCCUCACCGGCCUUCGGGUCCGUCCACUUUCAUGCCAACCACGGUGGCCAACCUUGACCCAGGCUUCGACUUCUUUGCUUGCGCGAUGGCGGACGCCUCGCUUACUCGAAAACACCAUGAUGGACACCAUCCACCCUACCUUGCCUACCGGCAGCACUUUUCUUCCGGCACGGGCUCGCCGACCACCUCUCUCUCAGGAUCCUCUCCACAACUACACGGUGGCCGGAGCCAACCGUCCGCCAUGACUGCUCCACCACCACCCCGAGGCUCGACAUGAGUCAACUUUAAUCGUGUCAAACAUACAUUGUUUGGAUCCUCAUGCACAUUAAGCAACAUUCUUGAUUUUUUCUGCCUAUAAACCACUAUUAUUCUUCGUCUUUGUUCUCCUGCUCCUCUUCACUUACUAUCUCUACCGUCCCUAUCCAAGCCAGCCGCAAUCAUCAAUGUCCCAUCCGGCUCAAAAUCCCCAAACCUUCUACACCCAUACUAUGAAUUUUAAGGGACCUUUUGCCAUUAUUUUAUCCUUCAAAGUCUACAAACUAUAAUAUCAAUGUAGAAGUAAUUAGUGUAAACUCCUUUAUGCCCGCUCAUGGCCACUACGACCACAACUCUGUCGUCUCACCUACAUGAUGUGUGUCCACUCCCACAAUUUCCCCCUUACUCUGGCGAGGCCUCCAUUACUUUUGAAUAUUUUGUUCGGAUUAUUUGCCAUCAAGGAGAAAUUAGCAUAUUGCGCAUGAACAUAUGUGAUAAAAGUUCCUGCGAUUUGACACUACAGAGGUAGAGCAACAUGAAAAUAAAAGAGCAUGCUUCUAAUCUUCAAACUUCUUAGUUUAAAAAAAUGGCGAUAACCUUACAACAUUUUCCAGACUCUUGUCCAUACUGAAAAUGGUUCAUGCAUUAAGGAACACCACACAAAGUAUGGAAUCCAAAAAAACUAACAACAAGCGACAGUGACAUGGAUGGCUACCUUAUUGCUUUGGAAGUGGAUGGCAUGAGCCGUCGCUUAGAUGCACGAAACAGUCCCGACCAUGUACAGCUAGCCAAGAAACGUUGGGUCAAAACAAGGAGUUGGUACCUUGAGCAACGACGCCAUCGCGUUGACAUUUGCCCAACCCAACUGCUCAUGGCCAUCCUCGGCCACCACCUAUCCACCUGGACACACUCCUCUAGACCCAGGCGUUCUGAACGGCAUCCUCCCUGCUUCCCCAGCAUGAUGGCCGACUACCGUAACUUCUCUAGAGUGAAUCCUUCCAAAGGCGCUGCCGACAACAUCAUCCCUGUGGUGAUGCGUCUUCCUUCUUGUGCCUUUUGCUCCAUUGACCUCCUUCCUAUGAAAUUUCGGUAACAAGGUACAUUUCAGUAAUCAGUAAAAAAAUGCAGAUUUUAGUACAAGAGAAAUGAGCGUCUUGACAAAGGUUUAGUAGAAAUCAGAUUUCCGUACAACAAGAUAUUUUAGUACCUACUAAAAAGAAUAGUACAAGGGCAAUCAUCCGAACAAUAUCAUCAUAAGUAUGAACUAAACCUUUAGUCGCAGCAGGUACCUACUAAAUAGGAAGUGGAUGAUAUUCAUAUUACCCAUGUCAUCUCAAUAUCAUCAUAUGUUUAUUGUAGAAAAUCAUAAGCAUCAACACCACUACCUGGAAGACAUAUCUCCUAGCUUCUUUAUGAUUCAGAAUUCAACCCCAUGGAAGCUAAUAUGAAUAUCAUCUCAAGGAUCUAGAUAAAAUACCUGGAACAAAACUCAAUGAAGAACCAUAACAUCGAUCGAAACUAAACAUGAAAAUUUUGAACUCGCUGACUUUAUAUCAGUCUAGUAGUAAUAGUAGUACAAUCGCUGGUAGAAAAUGCAAUUCUCAACGUGCAUAUAGAUAUGCUAUUAUCUUGCUGCUAGAAAAUGUAGCGCUCAAGGUACAUAUAGAUAUGCCAUUGUCUUGCUGUGAAAUAGACUGCUUGGUUUGUUAGCUAGAUUAGGAAACCUAAGCUUUCCAACAAUUCCAAUCUGGAAGCACAAUCAGACCUCAUAGCCUUAAAGAUAAAUGAAAAGCAAUCAAACCAUUGGCGAGAACUUCUAAUUACGGCUCCGAGAGAACUCUAAUCCAUUUGUAAUUUGCCUAGAAAUAAAAUCAAUCAAACUGUAAUUUGCCUAGAAACAUGACCUCAAUGGCAUGCAUACCAUCACCUUUCAUAUCUUUUGUGGCAUUAAAUGAUUGUUGCAUUGUCUACGGAUGAGCCAAAAUUGCUAUGCCCCCAGUUCUACAAAUUAGAUGCACAAUAGAUUCCCCAUUCAGCCUAAUACCGCUGCAAAUGAACAAUAGAAAUCCACAUUAGUAAAUACAUCACGUCCCUGGUUAAGUAGUUAAUUUCAAGCCCAAAAAAUUAACACACUCCUGGCCAACAAUGUGCACGGUUAACCAUGAGCUACCGCAUCCUUGCCAAGUGUCCUCGUCCCACUCUUCCACUUGGCGUGAGGCCUCAACGGGACCUGCAUGAUCUAUCCAUCAGCGCAUUGACAGGAUUGUUACCAAAAUUCUUGUUCCUGUGAUCAAGCGGGAGGAGUACCGUGUAAAAUUCUGGCAUCCUGCUGUUGUGACAAGAAUGCAUCCUAUGACAAAAAUGUAUCCGACAUCCUCAAUCUCAAGCUAGAAAAAGACACGAGUCUCUUACUUACUAUGACAAAGUUACCAAUGUUUUUAUCAUUAAUUUAAGACGCAAAGCCUCAGGAUUGACAUGAGUAACAUGAAAGACCUUGGGAAAUAUGAAGAAAUUAGGCACACUUUUUUGUGCAUGAUGUGAAGUAGUAGUAAAAAAUCAAAAUGUCUCAUCUAGUGUUUAGUUCUGCAUACCAAGGUUAUAGUUAUACAAGUACAACGAUUAUUCAGACAAGAUCAGCAAGGAGAUGAGAGGAUGCGCUCGCGGUUGUUCUAAAAAUCGGUAGUUGGAGUCAACUUGCUUAAUUCUAUGUGCAUGCAUAUUCAAAACAACAUGGAGAAUCGUUGUAGGUUGGCUUGGGGGUACCUUUGCAACAUGGAGAAUUAUUGUAGGUUGGCUUGCUGAAUUCUGUGUGCAUGCAUAUUUUGCAGUUGAUUAUGCGGCAUCCUCAUGGUGUAAUCUUCUGCUGAUUCGUUGGGAGUACCAUUGCCACCUGAUCUGUAGAAGAUAAUACUCCACCCAUA